Pelobates cultripes (western spadefoot toad) is the source of this 567-nucleotide non-coding RNA. The record is from the annotation of a GenBank genome assembly. NCBI's taxonomy places the organism in Eukaryota, Metazoa, Chordata, Amphibia, Anura, Pelobatidae.
UGAUGAUGGGCUCUAGCUGCAGUCUGGCUUCACUGGUCUGGUGCAGAACAGUCUCUCUGCAGGCGGUUUGUAACUGUGGUCACAAAAAUCAAUGUUCUGGGAGAACGGGAAGCAGCUCCAUUUUUGGGGGGUCCUUUACACAGCUCAAGGUCUGGGUUCCAGGGUCCACCUUCAUGUUCCACCAAUGAGUUUGUUCACAGGGGGUGGAGUGUGUAGGGGAUGUCCUGAUAUGUGUGUAAGGAAUGCAUUGUGUGAAAUUGUGUUUGUAUGUGUAAGGGCUGCAAGGUGUGUUUCUUUGUAUGUAUGGGAUGCAUUGAAUGUGUGUAAGGGGUGCAUUGAGUGUGUGUUUCUGUGUGUGUAAGGGAUGCAUUGUGUGUAACGGUUGCAUUGCUUGUGUAUGUGUGUGUGUGUGUAAUGCAUUGUGUGUUUUUCUGUGUGCAAGGGGUGCAUUGUGUGUAUGUGAUGAAUAUCAAUCUCUCCUCCCGCUCCAAUUUCCUUCUCCUCCUCCCAAUUUCUCUUUCUCACCCCCCCUCCUAAUUUCUCUCCCCCCCUAAUUUCUCUUUCCCC